ACAGCAGUCGCCACGGUAAUACGAAGGGGGCUAGCGUUGUUCGGAAUCACUGGGCGUAAAGGGUGCGUAGGCGGGAUCUUAAGUCAGGGGUGAAAUCCCGAGGCUCAACCUCGGAACUGCCUUUGAUACUGGGGUCCUUGAGUCCGGAAGAGGUGAGUGGAACUGCGAGUGUAGAGGUGAAAUUCGUAGAUAUUCGCAAGAACACCGGUGGCUAAGGCGGCUCACUGGUCCGGAACUGACGCUGAGGCACGACAGCGUGGGGAGCAAACAGGAUUAGAUACCCCGGUAGUCCCUGUCUCUUAUAC
Molecule: ribosomal RNA, 305 nt
Filed under: uncultured bacterium
Lineage: Bacteria
Description: partial 16S ribosomal RNA
Rfam family: Bacterial small subunit ribosomal RNA
Source: RNAcentral